AGCGAACGCUGGCGGCAGGCUUAACACAUGCAAGUCGAGCGGGCGUAGCAAUACGUCAGCGGCAGACGGGUGAGUAACACGUGGGAACGUACCUUUUGGUUCGGAACAACACAGGGAAACUUGUGCUAAUACCGAAUAAGCCCUUACGGGGAAAGAUUUAUCGCCGAAAGAUCGGCCCGCGUCUGAUUAGCUUGUUGGUGAGGUAACGGCUCACCAAGGCGACGAUCAGUAGCUGGCUGAGAGGAUGAUCAGCCACACUGGGACUGAGACACGGCCCAGACUCCUACGGGAGGCAGCAGUGGGGAAUAUUGGACAAUGGGGGCAACCCUGAUCCAGCCAUGCCGCGUGAGUGAUGAAGGCCCUAGGGUUNUAAAGCUCUUUUGUGCGGGAAGAUAAUGACGGUACCGCAAGAAUAAGCCCCCGGCUAACUUCGUGCCAGCAGCCGC
RNAcentral lists this ribosomal RNA (446 nucleotides) under uncultured bacterium. Its description in RNAcentral is "bacterial SSU rRNA". It matches the Rfam family "Bacterial small subunit ribosomal RNA", at positions 29 to 518 of the family's 1533-position model. The record is from RNAcentral.